RNAcentral lists this ribosomal RNA (423 nucleotides) under uncultured bacterium. RNAcentral describes it as "bacterial SSU rRNA". It matches the Rfam family "Bacterial small subunit ribosomal RNA", at positions 358 to 773 of the family's 1533-position model. The record is from RNAcentral.
GGAAUAUUGGACAAUGGGGGAAACCCUGAUCCAGCGACGCCGCGUGUGUGAAGAAGUCCUGCGGGUUGUAAAGCACUUUCGAUGGGAACGACAUGUGCCGGGCUAAUACCCCGGCAAGCUGACGUUACUCAAUGAAGAAGCCCCGGCUAACUCUGUGCCAGCAGCCGCGGUAAUACAGAGGGUGCGAGCGUUAAUCGGAAUUAAUUGGCGUAAAGCGCACGUAGGUGGCGACGUAUGUCGGGUGUGAAAGCCCCGGGCUCAACCUGGGAAUUGCAUUCGAAACUGCGUUGCUGGAGUACGGAAGAGGAAGGCGGAAUUCCCGGUGUAGCGGUGAAAUGCGUAGAUAUCGGGAGGAACAUCAGUGGCGAAGGCGGCCUUCUGGUCCAGUACUGACGCUCAAGUGCGAAAGCGUGGGUAGCAAAC